CCAGGACCAAGGUCAGCAGCAGGCGCGAAAAUUAUCGAAGCCCGCCUAGGGGCGAUAGUGAGGAGACGUGUAUAACGAAGUACGUGUAAAGACCGUACUAAUAACUGGAGGUCAAGUCUGGUGCCAGCAUCCGCGGUAAUUCCAGCUCCAGGGGUGUCUAUGAUGAUUGCUGCGAUUAAAAAGUCCGUAGUCAAGCUGACUGACUGACCUGCAAUGUGAUUGAUUAAAGAACGAGCAGGGUUAGGAAAGCAGAGAAUUAGGAGCGACCGAGGGCUAGAGUAUUGAAUGGCGAGAGGUGAAAUUUGAUGACCCAUUCAGGAGUGACAAAGGCGAAGGCACUAGUCAAGGGCGAAUCCGAUGAUCAAGGACGUAGGCUAGAGUUUCGAAAACGAUUAGAGACCGGAGUAGUUCUAGCAGUAAACUAUGCCGACGCCGCGGUAUCAUUWUUUGGUAUUGCGGAAGAGAAAUCAAGUAAGGCUUUGGGGAGAGUACGCGCGCAAGCGAUAAAUU
This 510-nucleotide ribosomal RNA is filed under the name Dictyocoela sp. 13 JEI-2011. Its description in RNAcentral is "partial small subunit ribosomal RNA". It matches the Rfam family "Microsporidia small subunit ribosomal RNA", at positions 269 to 778 of the family's 1311-position model. Lineage: Eukaryota; Fungi; Microsporidia. The record is from RNAcentral.